Molecule: non-coding RNA, 2756 nt
Organism: Caretta caretta (loggerhead turtle)
Lineage: Eukaryota; Metazoa; Chordata; Testudines; Cheloniidae
Source: RefSeq, a predicted model, not a curated record
UUACUCUCUUAGCAGCAUCUGGAUAAGGAUAAAAGAGUGGUGUGUAGCUCAAGACUGAUGUGUUGACAUAUCUUUGGCGGGAAGCUAGUGUGCUGCUUGUUCAGAGUAUACCUUGCCAUAAUUACUGCUAUUAUUGUUUCAUGAGACUAAAAAUUCAUAAUACUUGCUAAUUACAGUAUUAAAAUCAAGACUGAAAAGGAACUAAAAUCAAGUUGUUUUGCCCUUUUGAGGGUGAAGAAGGGGGAGUUGCAUUGAAUAACAGGGAAAAUAAAAUGUUUAACUGGUUUAAAAGACUAAACCAACAUAUCACUUACUAUAUCCCCAAACCAAACUUUGUUUAAAAAAAAGUUAAGGUUACUGUUUAGGCUGUAAAUGCCUCAAUGCAAGGAUUGUCUCACUAUGUAUAUGUGCAUUUUAAGUCUUAGGGAAUUUAUUCUGUACUCCAUAGUGCUCUAUAUUUGAGGUGGAUACUCUGUAUUCUUUAUACAUAACUGAGGUUGGCUACCUGCUUUAAGUGCAAAACUCAACUCAGCCUUAACUAUGGAGUUGUGACAAGCACCUUAAUAUGUCAGGUGUGUUUGGUUUGGCCUUCUGCUAACUUCCCAUCUCUUGCUGGUUUUCUCCAUUUCUCUGUCACUCCUGUAGCGGUUUUCCUUUCUGCCAUCUUUUUCCUCUCUUCUAGGAUCUCUGCACGUAGUGGUGGUGGCCUUGGGCCAUUUAUUGCUCUUUGAAAGAGUGAAAAGCUGUAGGUCAGCAACUGUCUGAGCAGUCUCCAACUUGUGCUGCUCCCACAGAUGGUAGCUCAACCACAAGAUUUUGAGGAGAAUUCAGAUGGGGAAAAAAUGAAAUCAAAAUGUUUUUUGAAUGAAACUUGGAGAGGUGGAGGAAAAGCCAGAAACACAAGAAUUAUGUACAUUCCAAAGCUAUCCAGUACAAUGUUGGAAAACUCUGUUAAAGCAACUCAAGAAAUAUUUCUAGUAUUUUUAAGACAUUAAAACAUUUGUAAGUCUUAAAUUGGUGUGCAGUUUGAGGAUCUAUUUCUUCUCCAGCCUUGAAGCUAGGAUUUCACAUAGGAUAAGAAAAAAUGGGUGGCUACUUACCUGAGGUUUAGGUGCAGCCUACAUUGUUAUACAAAACCAGGAGAAGUUAUUUUGCACCUCAGAACAUUUGCCUGCUGUUCGUUGGUAUUUGGUAUGUAAAGUACAGCAGUUUCCAUUUUACAAAGAAAUGCAAAAAAAUGUUUAGGAGAAAAACCAGCAUAACUGUAUGCUGAAGGUGUGGAAUUUCAUAUUCAGCAGAUAGUUAACUGCAGCAUUCAUGGGUGAUAGACAGAAAUGGGUACUGAGGGCAUCUUAUGACGCUCUGUACCUUAAAGUAGCACCCUGGAACCCCCAUAUUCACCAUUGUCCUAUAAUGAUAUGUUUUGUACAAAUUAUGCUUUGUGAGGUAUCAUUUUGAAAGUCUUUAUCUGUUGAACAUUAGUAUCCUGUUUGAUUGUAUGUGCUAACAUUAUAUAUGAACUUAUGAAGCAUUGCUAUUUGUUACUGAACUAUGUUGGUAAGAUGCCCACAGCCAACCUUUCAGUUACAACAAAGGACUAGCCAGACACGCUGAUGACCCAUUAAAGGGAAUCCACUCUCCCAAGGGCCAUACCAGAAACUUCUCAGAGCACAUAUGUAAUAGAGACCCCUUGACCAAUGGGGACUGCCUGAUCCCCAUAUCACAGCAAAGAUCUUUCCAGCAAGCUGGAAGAAAACAUAAGAGGGGAAGAGACAUAAUCACUUUGCCUUCCUCCCCCUCAUCCCCCAAAUCAACAUCUGCAAGGCAAAAGACCUUGAACUGGGGAAGCAUGGUGCCAGGCUGGAAAAGGGAGUCCAGUCUGUAUAUUGAGGAUCUGUAACCUGCUUGUACCAUAUGUCAGAGUGAGACACUGCUUGAUUCAAAUCCUGUUUAGUUUGUAGUGUGACGUUGCACCCCAUAAAGGCUUUAUGGAAAUAUGCUUAUGAAUGUAUAUAUGACAUAACUGGAAUAUGUGUUAUGCUACAUCUGCCAUGUACCCCAUAUCUCUGUAAAGGUUAUGAUCUACUGAAUAUAUUCAUCCUAUUUGUAUUCAUGUGUCAUUUUUGUACUCAAAGUUAUGAAUAUUGGCUGUGUACUUGCUUGAUUUUAAGUAACCUUAGUAAAGCAUUUGGUCAGCUUCUUGAGAAAGGAAUGUGCAAAUUAAGUGUCCAAUCAAGAAACACUUAAUGGACAAUGGAUCUUGGAAGGCUCCAAUCCACAUAAGAAGUCUGCUUGAGAAUGUUCAAGGUAGCAUGUGAACCAGGCUGCUACCUGUAAGUUUUGAGUCAUGCAUGGACAUCUGACAUGCCCAUGUGACUCCAAAACUCCAUCUUGUAGCUGGAAUUCUACAUGGGGGAGGGAGGAGUAUCCACCCACAAGAGAAAGCCCCUACAUUUUGUCUUCAGCUGGCUCAAGAGACACCACCCUGAAGGAUACCUGAAAGAAACUGGAACAAAGUACAGUAACCACAGGGGGUGAGAGUGAUUGCUGGACCCAGACUAGAAGGAGACUAGUCUGUAAAAGGAAGCUUACUGGAACACCUCUGAGGGUCAGGUUUUAUCUGUAUUCAGUUUUCUUACUGUAUUAGGCAUAGACUUGCAUGUUCUAUUUUAUUUUGCUUGGUAAUUCACUUUGCUCUGUCGGUUACUACUUGGAACCACUUAAAUCCUACUUUCUGUAUUUAAUAAAAUCACUUU